Molecule: ribosomal RNA, 452 nt
Filed under: uncultured bacterium
Lineage: Bacteria
Description: partial 16S ribosomal RNA
Rfam family: Bacterial small subunit ribosomal RNA
Source: RNAcentral
GAUGAACGCUGGCGGCGUGCCUAACACAUGCAAGUCGAGCGAUUUACUUCGGUAAAGAGCGGCGGACGGGUGAGUAACGCGUGGGUAACCUGCCCUGUACACACGGAUAACAUACCGAAAGGUAUGCUAAUACGAGAUAAUAUGCUUUUAUCGCAUGGUAGAAGUAUCAAAGCUUUUGCGGUACAGGAUGGACCCGCGUCUGAUUAGCUAGUUGGUGAGGUAACGGCUCACCAAGGCGACGAUCAGUAGCCGACCUGAGAGGGUGAUCGGCCACAUUGGAACUGAGACACGGUCCAAACUCCUACGGGAGGCAGCAGUGGGGAAUAUUGCACAAUGGGCGAAAGCCUGAUGCAGCAACGCCGCGUGAGCGAUGAAGGCCUUCGGGUCGUAAAGCUCUGUCCUCAAGGAAGAUAAUGACGGUACUUGAGGAGGAAGCCCCGGCUAACUACGUG